AGAGUUUGAUCCUGGCUCAGGAUGAACGCUGGCGGCGUGCCUAACACAUGCAAGUCGAACGAAGCAUCCCUUCCGAUGAAUGGACCAGCUUGCUGGGAAAGGAAUCAAUUGGGAUGACUGAGUGGCGGACGGGUGAGUAACGCGUGGGUAACCUGCCCCAUAGAGGGGGACAACAGCUGGAAACGGCUGCUAAUACCGCAUAGCAGGAAAGAGACGCAUGUCUUUUUCUUCAAAGAUUUAUCGCUAUGGGAUGGACCCGCGUCUGAUUAGCUAGUAGGUAAGGUAACGGCCUACCAAGGCGACGAUCAGUAGCCGGCUUGAGAGAGUGGACGGCCACAUUGGGACUGAGACACGGCCCAGACUCCUACGGGAGGCAGCAGUGGGGAAUAUUGCACAAUGGGGGAAACCCUGAUGCAGCGACGCCGCGUGAGUGAAGAAGUAUUUCGGUAUGUAAAGCUCUAUCAGCAGGGAAGAUAAUGACGGUACCUGACUAAGAAGCCCCGGCUAACUACGUGCCAGCAGCCGCGGUAUACGUAGGGGGCAAGCGUUAUCCGGAUUUACUGGGUGUAAAGGGUGCGUAGGUGGCAGGGCAAGUCAGAUGUGAAAGCCCGGGGCUCAACCCCGGUACUGCAUUUGAAACUGUCCAGCUGGAGUGCAGGAGAGGUAAGCGGAAUUCCUAGUGUAGCGGUGAAAUGCGUAGAUAUUAGGAGGAACACCAGUGGCGAAGGCGGCCGCCUGGCCUGUUGCUGACGCUGAGGCACGAAAGCGUGGGGAGCAAAUAGGAUUAGAUACCCUAGUAGUCCACGCCGUAAACGAUAAGGACCAAGUAUUGGGGGUGAAACUUCAGUGUUGAAAUUAACGCAGUGAGUCCUCCGCCUGGGGAGUAUGCAAGCAAGUGUGAAACUCAAAGGAAUUGACGGGGGCCCGCACAAGCGGUGGAGUAUGUGGUUUAAUUGGAAGCAACGCGAAGAACCUUACCAGGCCUUGACAUGGGAUGCGAAGAUGCAGAGAUGCAUCGGAGGUCAACAUCCACACAGGUGGUGCAUGGUUGUCGUCAGCUCGUGUCGUGAGAUGUUGGGUCAAGUCCCGCAACGAGCGCAACCCUUGUGGCAUGUUGCUAACAGGAAAAGCUGAGGACUCAUGCCAGACUGCCGGUGACAAACCGGAGGAAGGCGGGGAUGACGUCAAAUCAUCAUGCCCCUUAUGGCCUGGGCUACACACGUACUACAAUGGCGGCUACAAAGAGCAGCGAGACAGGGAUGUCGAGCGAAUCUCAUAAAAGCCGUCCCAGUUCGGAUUGGAGGCUGCAACCCGCCUCCAUGAAGUUGGAAUCGCUAGUAAUCGCGGAUCAGCAUGCCGCGGUGAAUACGUUAGCGCGGGCCUUGCACACACCGCCCGUCA
RNAcentral lists this ribosomal RNA (1401 nucleotides) under uncultured bacterium. Its description in RNAcentral is "bacterial SSU rRNA". It matches the Rfam family "Bacterial small subunit ribosomal RNA". The record is from RNAcentral.